UACGUAGGGUGCAAGCGGUAAUCGGAAUUACUGGGCGUAAAGCGUGCGCAGGCGGUUUUGUAAGACAGGCGUGAAAUCCCCGGGCUCAACCUGGGAAUUGCGCUUGUGACUGCAAAGCUGGAGUGCGGCAGAGGGGAAUGGAAUUCCGCGUGUAGCAGUGAAAUGCGUAGAUAUGCGGAGAAACAACAAUGGCGAAGGCAAUCCCCUGGUCCUGUACUGACGCU
RNAcentral lists this ribosomal RNA (224 nucleotides) under uncultured bacterium. RNAcentral's name for it is "partial 16S ribosomal RNA". It matches the Rfam family "Bacterial small subunit ribosomal RNA", at positions 524 to 747 of the family's 1533-position model. The record is from RNAcentral.